AGAGGCCAAGAAGGAGAGGGAAAGCAAAAGCCCCCCGCCAUCCUCUUCCUUUUUCCCCAGUAAUGUCGGCAAACAACUGGAGCACACCCAGGAAGAGCUGGAGAACUAUCUGGACAGGCUAACCCAUGUCUUGUUUGACACAGAAACCAGGAAAAGGGAUGGCCACCAUGAUCAGAAGUCCCACCAUCACCAUCACAGAAGUGCUGAUGUUAUGUCUGAAACUAAGGAGCAUUCAGGAAAGGAGGCAGCGCGCUCUCAGUAUCUGUCAGGCUACACAAGGGUUCAGGCCUGAAACAGCCGUUCAGCCUGAGACCGAUACUACUUAAAGCAGUAGCCGCUCCAGCUUCCACGGUGUGUGGCGGCAGCUUGCAGAACUAGUGUCAUCGCAGCCUUCCCGGAGGAGACCUGGAGUG
Molecule: long non-coding RNA, 413 nt
Organism: Gymnogyps californianus (California condor)
Lineage: Eukaryota; Metazoa; Chordata; Aves; Accipitriformes; Cathartidae
Exons: 3
Source: RefSeq, a predicted model, not a curated record